CAUUGAUUACGACUUCCCUUCACCACAUUAUUUAGGACUGCGUCGUAGGAGACUGGGACACAUAUCCACUUUGCUGGCUUGAUGAAGUAAACUGCUAAGUUGAGGAAGCCCACAUGGCAAGGAACUGUGGGCAGCCUUCAGCCAACAGGCAGCAAAAAGCUGAGCUCCUCGGAGCUACAGCCUCAAGGAAGUUACUUCUGCUAACAACCUGAAAAAGCUUGGAAGCUAGUUUCUCUCUAGUGGAAUUUUUAGGGAAGAGCAUGGCCCAGGCAAGAUAAAUAAUGAAACUGCAUAUCUUCUGGUUUACAUGAAGAUGGAGUGCUAAUGGAAAUGCCCAAAACCUUCAGAGAUUGACACGCUGUCAUUUUCCAUUUCCAUUCCUGGAUCUACGGAGUCUUCUAAGAGAUUUUGCAAUGAGGAGAAGCAUUGUUUUCAAACUAUAUAACUGAGCCUUAUUUAUAAUUAGGGAUAUUAUCAAAAUAUGUAACCAUGAGGCCCCUCAGGUCCUGAUCAGUCAGAAUGGAUGCUUUCACCAGCAGACCCGGCCAUGUGGCUGCUCGGUCCUGGGUGCUCGCUGCUGUGCGAGACAUUAGCCCUUUAGUUAUGAGCCUGUGGGAACUUCAGGGGUUCCCAGUGGGGAGAGCAGUGGCAGUGGGAGGCAUCUGGGGGCCAAAGGUCAGUGGCAGGGGGUACUUCAGUAUUAUACAACUGCUGUGACCAGACUUGUAUACUGGCCGAAUAUCAGUGCUGUUUGUAAUUUUUCACUUUGAGAACCAACAUUAAUUCCAUAUGAAUCAAGUGUUUUGUAACUGCUAUUCAUUUAUUCAGCAAAUAUUUAUUGAUCAUCUCUUCUCCAUAAGAUAGUGUGAUAAACACAGUCAUGAAUAAAGUUA
RNAcentral lists this long non-coding RNA (893 nucleotides) under Homo sapiens (human). RNAcentral's name for it is "non-protein coding lnc-DGCR6-2:34". Lineage: Eukaryota; Metazoa; Chordata; Mammalia; Primates; Hominidae. The record is from RNAcentral.